GACGAACGCUGGCGGCGUGCUUAACACAUGCCAGUCGAACGGUGAAGCGCCUUCCUUUUUGGUGGGUGUGGAUGAGUGGCGAACGGGUGAGUAACACGUGAGUAACCUGCCCCCUUCUUCUGGAUAACCGCAUGAAAGUGUGGCUAAUACGGGAUAUUCUGGGUCUGUCGCAUGAUGGGUCUGGGAAAGAUAUUGUUUCGGUGGGGGAUGGGCUCGCGGCCUAUCAGCUUGUUGGUGGGGUGAUGGCCUACCAAGGCGGUGACGGGUAGCCGGCCUGAGAGGGUGGACGGUCACACUGGGAAUGAGACACGGCCCAGACUCCUACGGGAGGCAGCAGUGGGGAAUAUUGCACAAUGGGCGCAAGCCUGAUGCAGCGACGCCGCGUGAGGGAUGGAGGCCUUCGGGUUGUGAACCUCUUUCGCCAGUGAAGCAGGCCUGCCUCGUUUGUGGGUGGGUUGACGGUAGCUGGAUAAGAAGCGCCGGCUAACUACGUG
This 494-nucleotide ribosomal RNA is filed under the name uncultured bacterium. RNAcentral's name for it is "partial 16S ribosomal RNA". It matches the Rfam family "Bacterial small subunit ribosomal RNA", at positions 28 to 507 of the family's 1533-position model. The record is from RNAcentral.